Molecule: ribosomal RNA, 271 nt
Filed under: uncultured archaeon
Lineage: Archaea
Description: partial 16S ribosomal RNA
Rfam family: Archaeal small subunit ribosomal RNA
Source: RNAcentral
UGUAGCUUAACUGUGGGAAUUGCUGGAGAUACUAUUAGACUUGAGACCGGGAGAGGUUAGAGGUACUCCCAGGGUAGAGGUGAAAUUCUGUAAUCCUGGGAGGACCGCCUGUUGCGAAGGCGUCUAACUGGAACGGUUCUGACGGUGAGGGACGAAAGUUAGGGGCGCGAACCGGAUUAGAUACCCGGGUAGUCCUAACUGUAAACGAUGCGAACUUGGUGUUGGGGUGGCUUUGAGCUGUCCCAGUGCCGAAGGGAAGCUGUUAAGUCCG